GAUGAACGCUGGCGGCGUGCUUAACACAUGCAAGUCGAACGGAAAGGCCCCAGCUUGCUGGGGUACUCGAGUGGCGAACGGGUGAGUAACACGUGGGUGAUCUGCGCUGCACUUUGGGAUAAGCGUGGGAAACUGGGUCUAAUACCGAAUAUGACCACUUCUUGGAUGUUGUAGGGGACAGCUUUUGCGGUGUGGGAUGAGCCUGCGGCCUAUCAGCUUGUUGGUGGGGUAAUGGCCUACCAAGUCGGCGACGGGUAUCCGGCCUGAGAGGGAGUACAGACACAUUGGGACUGAGAUACGGCCCAGACUCCUACGGGAGGCAGCAGUGGGGAAUAUUGCACAAUGGGCGCAAGCCUGAUGCAGCGACGCCGCGUGGGGGAUGAAGGCCUUCGGGUUGUAAACUCCUUUCGCUAUCGACGAAGCCACUUGUGGUGACGGUAGGUAGAUAAGAAGCACCGGCUAACUACGUGCCAGCCGCCGCAGUAA
Molecule: ribosomal RNA, 486 nt
Filed under: uncultured bacterium
Lineage: Bacteria
Description: partial 16S ribosomal RNA
Rfam family: Bacterial small subunit ribosomal RNA
Source: RNAcentral